UUGGAGGGCAAGUCUGGUGCCAGCAGCCGCGGUAAUUCCAGCUCCAAUAGCGUAUAUUAAAGUUGUUGCAGUUAAAAAGCUUGUAGUUGAAUUUCGGGAUCAAUAUGCCGGUCAUGCCUUGGUAUGCACCGGUAUCUUUGAUUUCUCCCUUCUGACGAACUUUGAUGUCAUUAAUUUGGUGUCAUAGGGAAUCAGGACUGUUACUUUGAAAAAAUUAGAGUGUUUAAAGCAAGCUCACGCUUGAAUACAUUAGCAUGGAAUAAUGAAAUAGGACGUUUGAUUCUAUUUUGUUGGUUUCUAGGAUCGACGUAAUGAUUAAUAGGGAUAGUUGGGGGCAUUAGUAUUCAAUUGUCAGAGGUGAAAUUCUUGGAUUUAUUGAAGACUAACUACUGCGAAAGCAUUUGCCAAGGAUGUUUUCAUUAAUCAAGAACGAAAGUUAGGGGAUCGAAGACGAUCAGAUACCGUCGUAGUCUUAACCAUAAACUAUGCCGACUAGGGAUCGGAUGAUGUUAAUUUUUUAAUGACUCAUUCGGCGCCUUACGGGAAACCAAAGUGUUUGGGUUC
Molecule: ribosomal RNA, 564 nt
Filed under: uncultured Glomeromycotina
Lineage: Eukaryota; Fungi; Glomeromycota
Description: SSU rRNA
Rfam family: Eukaryotic small subunit ribosomal RNA
Source: RNAcentral